Molecule: ribosomal RNA, 491 nt
Filed under: uncultured bacterium
Lineage: Bacteria
Description: partial 16S ribosomal RNA
Rfam family: Bacterial small subunit ribosomal RNA
Source: RNAcentral
AGUGAACGCUGGCGGUAGGCCUAACACAUGCAAGUCGAACGGCAGCACAGUAAGAGCUUGCUCUUACGGGUGGCGAGUGGCGGACGGGUGAGGAAUACAUCGGAAUCUACUUUUUCGUGGGGGAUAACGUAGGGAAACUUACGCUAAUACCGCAUACGACCUACGGGUGAAAGCAGGGGAUCUUCGGACCUUGCGCGAUUGAAUGAGCCGAUGUCGGAUUAGCUAGUUGGCGGGGUAAAGGCCCACCAAGGCGACGAUCCGUAGCUGGUCUGAGAGGAUGAUCAGCCACACUGGAACUGAGACACGGUCCAGACUCCUACGGGAGGCAGAAGGGGGGAAUAUGGGAAAAGGGGCGAAAGCCUGAUCCAGCCAUACCGCGUGGGUGAAGAAGGCCUUCGGGUUGUAAAGCCUUUUUGUUGGGAAAAAAAAGCAGCAGGUUAAUACCCCGCUGUUCUGACGGGACCCAAAGAAUAAGCACCGGCUAAUUUCGG